This 253-nucleotide ribosomal RNA is filed under the name uncultured bacterium. Its description in RNAcentral is "partial 16S ribosomal RNA". It matches the Rfam family "Bacterial small subunit ribosomal RNA", at positions 524 to 776 of the family's 1533-position model. The record is from RNAcentral.
UACGAAGGGGGCUAGCGUUGCUCGGAAUCACUGGGCGUAAAGCGCACGUAGGCGGGUCGUUAAGUCGGGGGUGAAAUCCUGGAGCUCAACUCCAGAACUGCCUUCGAUACUGGCGAUCUUGAGUCUGGGAGAGGUGAGUGGAACUCCGAGUGUAGAGGUGAAAUUCGUAGAUAUUCGGAGGAACACCAGUGGCGAAGGCGGCUCACUGGUCCAUUACUGACGCUGAGGUGCGAAAGCGUGGGGAGCAAACAGG